ACAGCAGCCGCGGUAAAACGUAGGAGGCGAGCGUUAUCCGGAUUUACUGGGCGUAAAGCGCGUGCAGGCGGUUAUGUAAGUUGGGCGUGAAAUCUCCUGGCUCAACUGGGAGGGGUCGUCCAAGACUGCAUGACUUGAGGGCAGGAGAGGGAAGCGGAAUUUCCGGUGUAGCGGUAAUAUGCGCAGAUAUCGGAAGGAACACCAGUGGCGAAGGCGGCUUCCUGGUCUGUACCUGACGCUGAGACGCGAAAGCUAGGGGAGCGAACGGGAUUAGAUACCCCGGUAGUCCUAGCCGUAAACGAUGGAUACUAGGUGUGGGCGGUAUUGACCCCGCCUGUGCCGAAGCCAACGCGUUAAGUAUCCCGCCUGGGGAGUACGACCGCAAGGUUAAAACUUAAAGGAAUUGGCGGGGGAU
RNAcentral lists this ribosomal RNA (415 nucleotides) under uncultured bacterium. RNAcentral's name for it is "bacterial SSU rRNA". It matches the Rfam family "Bacterial small subunit ribosomal RNA", at positions 508 to 921 of the family's 1533-position model. The record is from RNAcentral.